UACGUAGGGUCCGAGCGUUGUCCGGAAUUAUUGGGCGUAAAGGGCUCGUAGGCGGUCUGUUGCGUCGGGAGUGAAAACUUACAGCUUAACUGUGAGCGUGCUUCCGAUACGGGCAGACUUGAGGUAUUCAGGGGAGAACGGAAUUCCUGGUGUAGCGGUGAAAUGCGCAGAUAUCAGGAGGAACACCGGUGGCGAAGGCGGGAUCCUGGGCCAGUACUGACGCUGAGGAGCGAAAGCGUGGGGAGCAAACAGG
RNAcentral lists this ribosomal RNA (253 nucleotides) under uncultured bacterium. RNAcentral's name for it is "partial 16S ribosomal RNA". It matches the Rfam family "Bacterial small subunit ribosomal RNA", at positions 524 to 776 of the family's 1533-position model. The record is from RNAcentral.